RNAcentral lists this transfer RNA (66 nucleotides) under Helice tientsinensis. Its description in RNAcentral is "tRNA-Ser". The record is from RNAcentral. RNAcentral also lists the same sequence under 1 other name. Lineage: Eukaryota; Metazoa; Arthropoda; Malacostraca; Decapoda; Varunidae.
GAAUAUUAUGACAAGGACCGAAGCUUCUAACUUCUUUCCAAGCGGUUAAACUCCGUUUAUAUUCCU